GACGAACGCUGGCGGCGUGCCUAAUACAUGCAAGUAGAACGCUGAAGAGAGGAGCUUACUCUUCUUGGAUGAGUUGCGAACGGGUGAGUAACGCGUAGGUAACCUGCCUUGUAGCGGGGGAUAACUAUUGGAAACGAUAGCUAAUACCGCAUAACAAUGGAUGACACAUGUCAUUUAUUUGAAAGGGGCAAUUGCUCCACUACAAGAUGGACCUGCGUUGUAUUAGCUAGUAGGUGAGGUAAUGGCUCACCUAGGCGACGAUACAUAGCCGACCUGAGAGGGUGAUCAGCCACACUGGGACUGAGACACGGCCCAGACUCCUACGGGAGGCAGCAGGAGGGAAUCUUCGGCAAUGGGGGCAACCCUGACCGAGCAACGCCGCGUGAGUGAAGAAGGUUUUCGGAUCGUAAAGCUCUGUUGUAAGUCAAGAACGGGUGUGAGAGUGGAAAGUUCACACUGUGACGGUAGCUUACCAGAAAGGGACGGCUAACUACGUG
Molecule: ribosomal RNA, 497 nt
Filed under: uncultured bacterium
Lineage: Bacteria
Description: partial 16S ribosomal RNA
Rfam family: Bacterial small subunit ribosomal RNA
Source: RNAcentral